This 253-nucleotide ribosomal RNA is filed under the name uncultured bacterium. RNAcentral's name for it is "partial 16S ribosomal RNA". It matches the Rfam family "Bacterial small subunit ribosomal RNA", at positions 524 to 776 of the family's 1533-position model. The record is from RNAcentral.
GACGAACCGUGCGAACGUUGUUCGGAAUCACUGGGCUUAAAGGGCGCGUAGGCGGAUCAUCAAGUCCGGGGUGAAAUCCCGCAGCUCAACUGCGGAAGGGCCUUGGAUACUGGUGGUCUCGAGGGAGGUAGGGGCAUGUGGAACUUCCGGUGGAGCGGUGAAAUGCGUAGAUAUCGGAAGGAACGCCGGUGGCGAAAGCGACGUGCUGGACCUCAUCUGACGCUGAGGCGCGAAAGCCAGGGGAGCAAACGGG